CCCAUCUGUGCAGCCAUACCCCAUGACACUCCUUCCUCGCUCUCAUCUCACGCACGACCUACCUUCGCCAACCCUAGGUGUGCCGCCGCCACCAUGGUCUUCAUCUCGCAGCCCCUCAACCGCCCCGUCGGAGCGGCGCCUCCAUCUAUGCCUAGUCGCCGCUGUUCUCCUUAUCAUGUCUUCCCAAAAGGUGCAGCAGGGAGCAUCUUUUUCUCGAGCCGGCGACAAUCUCUAUCCCCAAAUUAGUGGCGCACUACAUCCCUAAAGUACAAGUCCGAUUUUGAAGCCAUAUCUAGAGUCCUCAGGCGCGCCGUCCCCAGAUCCAGCACGUCGAGCAACUAGCCGGAGAUCCUUUGUAGACGUCAACAGAAGGUGUCAAGGUGAUCAGUAUAUUAGAGACUUCAAGUGAUCUGAACCGGAAGUUGUCAAACUUUAGUACCUGAAUUUGGUUGAUCCGGAUGAGAAUACUAGAUGGUUGAUACAAACCGGAGCGACUGUUUGUCUAUUCAACGGACAAAACCGAUCCGAUGUGGUUUGAAGGAAGUAAUCAAUCUUCAGUUUCUGGUUGACUCAUGGUGGAUGAUGUAUGCCACUUGCUGGUGACGCUUAAGGCAGCAGGUGGCGUUCAUACUGGUUGUAAUCAAUUGUUUUGGGUAAAUCUUGGAGACUGAUUCUGGCAUUUUGAUUUUGGGAAUGUUUUAGUCUUGAAUCUCAGAUGGCCAUUGGACAGGUUAUUACUAGCGCAUUUGGGGAAUUCUUAAGUUUCCAACCCCCGGUGGAUAGCGGCUGCUAAUUUUGUUAUAAAAUUCUCUAUUUGUUGAUUUGAUUUGGUUUUCCAUCAUGCUCCAAGUUAGAUGGAUUUGUGCAGAUUCUCUAAAGUAGAGGAUUGGUCAAGGCAGAUGAUUACCAACGCUAGAGUGCCAGUUGUGAUGAUUUUUUAUAUCUUGGGAGUGGCUUCUCUUGUAGUGUACGCAUCCAUAUAGAAAAACGGGGAAGUUAGCAUAACAUUGUUGGAUCUAUGCAAUGAAAAUAUAUCCAUUAGUUAUUUUU
This is a long non-coding RNA of Triticum aestivum (bread wheat), 1050 nucleotides long. RefSeq lists it as uncharacterized. The transcript has 4 exons. NCBI's taxonomy places the organism in Eukaryota, Viridiplantae, Streptophyta, Magnoliopsida, Poales, Poaceae. The record is from RefSeq and is a predicted model, not a curated record.